AUUAUACUCGCUCCGUCUCAAAAUUCUUGUCUUAAAUUUGUCUAGAUAUAAAUGUAUCUAGUCAUGUUUUAAUAUUUAGAUACAUUCUUUUGUAGACAAAUUUAAGACGAGAAUUUUGGAACCCUCAUAUGGAGGCGGUAUUUC
Molecule: microRNA precursor, 144 nt
Filed under: Hordeum vulgare
Lineage: Eukaryota; Viridiplantae; Streptophyta; Magnoliopsida; Poales; Poaceae
Description: microRNA MIR1122
Rfam family: MIR1120/MIR1122 microRNA precursor family
Source: RNAcentral